RNAcentral lists this ribosomal RNA (468 nucleotides) under uncultured bacterium. RNAcentral describes it as "partial 16S ribosomal RNA". It matches the Rfam family "Bacterial small subunit ribosomal RNA", at positions 28 to 507 of the family's 1533-position model. The record is from RNAcentral.
GACGAACGCUGGCGGCGUGCUUAACACAUGCAAGUCGAACGGAAAGGCCCUGCUUUUGUGGGGUGCUCGAGUGGCGAACGGGUGAGUAACACGUGAGUAACCUGCCCUUGACUUUGGGAUAACUUCAGGAAACUGGGGCUAAUACCGGAUAGGAGCUCCUGCUGCAUGGUGGGGGUUGGAAAGUUUCGGCGGUUGGGGAUGGACUCGCGGCUUAUCAGCUUGUUGGUGGGGUAGUGGCUUACCAAGGCUUUGACGGGUAGCCGGCCUGAGAGGGUGACCGGCCACAAUGGGACUGAGGUACGGCGCAGACUCCUACGGGAGGCAGUAGUGGGGAAUCUUGCACAAUGGGCGGAAGCCUGAUGCAGCAAUGCCGCGUGCGGGAUGCCGGCCUACGGGUUGUAAACCGCUUUGGCCUGUGACGAAGCGUGAGUGACGGUAAUGGGUAAAGAAGCACCGGCUAACUACGUG